ACAGACUGACAUCUUUUCUGUUGAAGCUGUGCACCUUGGAUGUUUGUACAAGAUUGUUAUAGGACAUAAUGGGCUUGGAUCAGGAAAUGGAUGGUUUCUGGAAAAAGUUGUGAUCAAGGAUCCUGUAACAGAUUUGGAUUAUACUUUUCUUUGUCACAGGUGGCUGGACCAGGGACAGGAUGAUGGCAGUAUUGCUAGAGAACUGCCUGUGACAGAUGCCAGCACAUUUCCAGGAA
Molecule: non-coding RNA, 236 nt
Organism: Cyanistes caeruleus (blue tit)
Lineage: Eukaryota; Metazoa; Chordata; Aves; Passeriformes; Paridae
Source: RefSeq, a predicted model, not a curated record